This 1343-nucleotide ribosomal RNA is filed under the name uncultured bacterium. Its description in RNAcentral is "16S ribosomal RNA". It matches the Rfam family "Bacterial small subunit ribosomal RNA", at positions 28 to 1378 of the family's 1533-position model. The record is from RNAcentral.
GACGAACGCUGGCGGCGUGCUUAACACAUGCAAGUCGAACGGAAAGGCCCUGCUUUUGUGGGGUGCUCGAGUGGCGAACGGGUGAGUAACACGUGAGUAACCUGCCCUUGACUUUGGGAUAACUUCAGGAAACUGGGGCUAAUACCGGAUAGGAGCUCCUGCUGCAUGGUGGGGGUUGGAAAGUUUCGGCGGUUGGGGAUGGACUCGCGGCUUAUCAGCUUGUUGGUGGGGUAGUGGCUUACCAAGGCUUUGACGGGUAGCCGGCCUGAGAGGGUGACCGGCCACAUUGGGACUGAGAUACGGCCCAGACUCCUACGGGAGGCAGCAGUGGGGAAUAUUGCACAAUGGGCGGAAGCCUGAUGCAGCAACGCCGCGUGCGGGAUGACGGCCUUCGGGUUGUAAACCGCUUUCGCCUGUGACGAAGCGUGAGUGACGGUAAUGGGUAAAGAAGCACCGGCUAACUACGUGCCAGCGGCCGCGGUGAUACGUAGGGUGCGAGCGUUGUCCGGAUUUAUUGGGCGUAAAGGGCUCGUAGGUGGUUGAUCGCGUCGGAAGUGUAAUCUUGGGGCUUAACCCUGAGCGUGCUUUCGAUACGGGUUGACUUGAGGAAGGUAGGGGAGAAUGGAUUUCCUGGUGGAGCGGUGGAAUGCGCAGAUAUCAGGAGGAACACCAGUGGCGAAGGCGGUCUUCUGGGCCUUUCCUGACGCUGAGGAGCGAAAGCGUGGGGAGCGAACAGGCUUAGAUACCCUGGUAGUCCACGCUGUAAACGGUGGGUACUAGGUGUGGGGUCCAUUCCACGGGUUCCGUGCCGUAGCUAACGCUUUAAGUACCCCGCCUGGGGAGUACGGCCGCAAGGCUAAAACUCAAAGGAAUUGACGGGGCCCCGCACAAGCGGCGGAGCAUGCGGAUUAAUUCGAUGCAACGCGUAGAACCUUACCUGGGUUUGACAUGGAUCGGGAGUGCUCAGAGAUGGGUGUGCCUCUUUUGGGGUCGGUUCACAGGUGGUGCAUGGCUGUCGUCAGCUCGUGUCGUGAGAUGUUGGGUUAAGUCCCGCAACGAGCGCAACCCUUGUUCACUGUUGCCAGCACGUUAUGGUGGGGACUCAGUGGAGACCGCCGGGGUCAACUCGGAGGAAGGUGGGGAUGACGUCAAGUCAUCAUGCCCCUUAUGUCCAGGGCUUCACGCAUGCUACAAUGGCUGGUACAGAGAGUGGCGAGCCUGUGAGGGUGAGCGAAUCUCGGAAAGCCGGUCUCAGUUCGGAUUGGGGUCUGCAACUCGACCUCAUGAAGUCGGAGUCGCUAGUAAUCGCAGAUCAGCAACGCUGCGGUGAAUACGUUCCCGGG